UCCGGUUCCUCACCGGCAGUCUCCUUAGAGUCCCCAACUUUACUUGCUGGCAACUAAGGACAAGGGUUGCGCUCGUUACGGGACUUAACCCAACAUCUCACAACACGAGCUGACGACAGCCAUGCAGCACCUGUCUCUGCGCUCCUUUCGGCACUCCCAACUCUCAUCGGGAUUCGCAGGAUGUCAAGAGUAGGUAAGGUUCUUCGCGUUGCAUCGAAUUAAACCACAUGCUCCACCGCUUGUGCGGGCCCCCGUCAAUUCCUUUGAGUUUCAACCUUGCGGCCGUACUUCCCAGGCGGAGAACUUAUCGCGUUAGCUUCGAUACUGAUCGGUUCCCCAACCAACAUCUAGUUCUCAUCGUUUACAGCGUGGACUAC
RNAcentral lists this unclassified non-coding RNA (377 nucleotides) under uncultured Gammaproteobacteria bacterium. RNAcentral's name for it is "contains 16S-23S intergenic spacer region". Lineage: Bacteria; Pseudomonadati; Pseudomonadota; Gammaproteobacteria. The record is from RNAcentral.